RNAcentral lists this long non-coding RNA (956 nucleotides) under Heterocephalus glaber (naked mole-rat). Its description in RNAcentral is "lncRNA (ENSHGLG00000047850.1)". The record is from RNAcentral. Lineage: Eukaryota; Metazoa; Chordata; Mammalia; Rodentia; Bathyergidae.
GCGCUCCCGGAGCUGCAAACCCGGGCUUCUUCCUUCCUUCCUUCCUUUUUUUUUUUUUUUAAAUAUUCUUUCUUUUUUAGUCCUUUUCUCCCUUUCCUCCUGCCCUGUUUCCUUUUAGUAUUUUCUUUGUGAUUGUUUUUGCAAGUUUGUUUUAAAAGUUCACUGCAUGCUUUCUUUUCUUGUAGACCGGGAGACCGUGAUCUCACCCUGACGACCCCUGGAAACACUCCUGCCUGCCCUUUCUCCUACCACUAGAUGGAUGCAGAUGAGGACAAAGAGGAGUAAAGAGGAGCCACCUAACAAAGGAAUCCUGACUCCCUGAAUAGCCAUACACACCCAGCAACAACUAUAAAGAGAGGGGGUCCCUGAGCCAGGUGCAUGGGGAAUCGAUACUGACCUGCCUCUUCUCUUCCAGCACCGCUUCUCCAGGCCAGCCGCUCUAGAAGAGUCAUUCUAGCCAUGAGAACUGCAGUUGAUAUCUUUGGCUGCCACUAAAUUUUACAUGGCCUUUAUCUAUUGUCCAUUUUGCGAUGAUGAGUCAAAGCCUGAUUGCCAAAUGAAGAUGUUUUGUAAGAUUGGAUACCUGCUAAAGCUCAUUUGCAAUUGCAAAGUCUGAAGGUGCUUUAAUCCUGCCUGUGUUUACAGAAGAAUGAGACCUGGAGGACAGGUGGACAUAUCCCCUGGAGUAAAAGGCCCCAGAGAGACAAGCACAGCCAGUCACACUCCACAGUCCACAAAAGCUGUCUCAGGAGCCACCUCACUAAUUUUUUGACCCUUGUUUCCUUGUUUGUUCCCAACCCCCACCCUGCAGUAAUUUUGUUAUUUCCAUUCCAUCCUUCCCGAAGAUAAAAGACACCGUGGGCGGGAUCCAUGAAUAAAAGUUGUUAUUUAUCGAUGCUGGUUUUAGGGAACAUUUUUUCUUCUGAUUCAUGAAGUACUUCUCUGCAUUCGAAAAG